Long non-coding RNA from Helianthus annuus (common sunflower), 569 nucleotides. RefSeq lists it as uncharacterized. The transcript has 2 exons. Lineage: Eukaryota; Viridiplantae; Streptophyta; Magnoliopsida; Asterales; Asteraceae. The record is from RefSeq and is a predicted model, not a curated record.
UCUCUGGAGUGCCCUCGGGGCAAUCCCCCCGGGCCCUCUAACGAGAUUUACCUAUGAUCGCAGCCCAAGACUAGAUGUCCCGUAAGAAGAACCGUCAUCACAACAAUAAGAGACGGAAUCUAAACCGGACUCGCCGAGUAUAAGGUUUGGAUAAAUGCUAACCGGUACCGUUUGCUCAUCCCUGGUCACGGGUACCGUACGAACAACAACGGUAUCGCAAAAUUGUUGAUUUUCUUCAACUUUUAAUGAUUUUUUUUAGUUUCAGAGGUAGGGAUGAGCUCAGUGCCAACCGAUACCGAAUCGGUACUGGUACUGAAAAUAACGGUUACGGUACCUGUAUAUGAAGGUAAAAACCGGUAGCAAACCGGUACCAGGAACGCCAAAAGUCGGUAUCGAAUUGGUACCUAAAAUCUUUCGGUUUCGGAAAUUCGGUGCCGGUACCCAGUACCAUUUCCUCAUCUCUGACCAUGAGUUUCACACGAACAAUAUCAUUAACAUACAACUUUUUGAUUGAUUUUUUUCGGUCAUCUUUUAGUGUCUGUUUAUACAUUUUCUUUUUGUUCUUGUUA